UACAGAGGUCCCAAGCGUUGUUCGGAUUCAUUGGGCGUAAAGGGUGCGUAGGUGGCGCGCUAAGUCAGGUGUGAAAUUUCGGAGCUCAACUCCGAAACUGCAUUUGAUACUGGCGUGCUUGAGGACUGGAGAGGAGACUGGAAUUCACGGUGUAGCAGUGAAAUGCGUAGAUAUCUGGAGGAACACCGGUGGCGAAGGCGGCGUUCUGGACUGCAACUGACACUGUAAAACGAAAGCCAGGGGAGCAAACGGG
RNAcentral lists this ribosomal RNA (253 nucleotides) under uncultured bacterium. Its description in RNAcentral is "partial 16S ribosomal RNA". It matches the Rfam family "Bacterial small subunit ribosomal RNA", at positions 524 to 776 of the family's 1533-position model. The record is from RNAcentral.